UACGAAGGGGGCUAGCGUUGUUCGGAAUUACUGGGCGUAAAGGGCGCGUAGGCGGUGUGUCAAGUCAGGCGUGAAAGCCCCGGGCUCAACCUGGGAACAGCGCUUGAGACUGGCACGCUCGAGUUCGGGAGAGGAUGGUGGAAUUCCCAGUGUAGAGGUGAAAUUCGUAGAUAUCGGGAGGAACACCGGUGGCGAAGGCGGCGACCUGGGUCGAUACUGACGCUGGAGCGCGAAAGCGUGGGGAGCAAACAGG
This 253-nucleotide ribosomal RNA is filed under the name uncultured bacterium. Its description in RNAcentral is "partial 16S ribosomal RNA". It matches the Rfam family "Bacterial small subunit ribosomal RNA", at positions 524 to 776 of the family's 1533-position model. The record is from RNAcentral.